ACGGAAGGCAGCAGUGGGGAAUAUUGCACAAUGGGCGAAAGCCUGAUGCAGCGACGCCGCGUGAGUGAAGGAGUAUCUCGGUAUGUAAAGCUCUAUCAGCAGGGAAGAAAAUGACGGUACCUGACUAAGAAGCCCCGGCUAACUACGUGCCAGCAGCCGCGGUAAUACGUAGGGGGCAAGCGUUAUCCGGAUUUACUGGGUGUAAAGGGAGCGUAGACGGUUUGGCAAGUCUGAAGUGAAAUGCGGGGGCUCAACUCCUGAACUGCUUUGGAAACUGUCGAACUAGAGUGCAGGAGAGGUAAGUGGAAUUCCUAGUGUAGCGGUGAAAUGCGUAGAUAUUAGGAGGAACACCAGUGGCGAAGGCGGCUUACUGGACUGUAACUGACGUUGAGGCUCGAAAGCGUGGGGAGCAAACAGGAUUAGAUACCCUGGUA
Molecule: ribosomal RNA, 434 nt
Filed under: uncultured Clostridium sp.
Lineage: Bacteria; Bacillati; Bacillota; Clostridia; Eubacteriales; Clostridiaceae
Also listed under: 1 other name
Description: partial 16S ribosomal RNA
Rfam family: Bacterial small subunit ribosomal RNA
Source: RNAcentral